Carcharodon carcharias (great white shark) is the source of this 896-nucleotide long non-coding RNA. RefSeq lists it as uncharacterized. The record is from RefSeq and is a predicted model, not a curated record. NCBI's taxonomy places the organism in Eukaryota, Metazoa, Chordata, Chondrichthyes, Lamniformes, Lamnidae. The transcript has 3 exons.
UCAAACAGCCGUUGGACACAAAUGGAAUCGGAUCCUGGGACGAGUGACCUCUGAACCAUUAUUAUUCAGAGAAACAUCCCAAAGCUCUCCACAGAGAUGGGAGAAGAAUGGACACUGAUCCAAAGUGAAGCCACAACAAUCCCCUUACAUUGACGUUGCCAGCUAUGAAAUGUAUAUGAUGGGAUAUUUGAGCAUUCCUUCUCUCAUGCUAAAGUAUAACAGCUACAAUCACAGUGAUUAGUGGAGCAAAUGGUUUUCGAACAGUUGGAAGUUUAUUUCACAAAGGAAAAUGGAUCAUGUUCAUAUAACCUGUAAUUUCAGGACCAUAUAUUUUCGUCAAGUUCUCAUGAUAAUUAGUCAUCUGUAUGAUAUAUUAAUGUAAAUUCCCCUAAAGUAAAUAAGGGAGGUUGUGAAGGAGAUAUGAUAAAUGGCUCUGAUGAUUAAUGAGGGACUUCUCUCAUUGUGAAUGAGCACCAAGAUAAAACACAUGGGGUCAAGAUCACAUCUUAUGGAAUCAGUGAUAAAUGUGUUAACGUAUUCAUAUCAAACUAUUCGUUUUGCACCUUAGCUGAAGCCAGUGCAUAAUGCCAAACAGGUUAACUCCUUUAUUCUGAUAGAAAUGUCAUAUCAAUGCAUUAGUUAUAAUAUAAGGAAAAUAUGAACGUGGACACUGAAUGAAAUUAAUCAAGAUAUAGCUGGAAAAUGCUGACGAUGCAGGUGAUGGGCUAAGGAUGCAUCACACUUCUCAAUCUUCUCCUGAAGCUGCUAAUUUCACACUGGGCUAUAGGUCCACAGACACUGGAGGCCUCAUCAUACUGCAGCCGAUAAGAACAGUUCUGUUCUCAUGGCAAAACACUGGUGGGAAUUGCAGCUGUAAAACUGUCUGGCCAAGUCUG